AACGCGAAGAACCUUACCUGGCCUUGACAUCCAGAGAACUUAGCAGAGAUGCUUUGGUGCCUUCGGGAACUCUGAGACAGGUGCUGCAUGGCUGUCGUCAGCUCGUGUUGUGAAAUGUUGGGUUAAGUCCCGCAACGAGCGCAACCCUUAUCCUUUGUUGCCAGCGGUUCGGCCGGGGACUCAAAGGAGACUGCCGGUGAUAAACCGGAGGAAGGUGGGGAUGACGUCAAGUCAUCAUGGCCCUUACGGCCAGGGCUACACACGUGCUACAAUGGCGCAUACAAAGAGAAGCGACCUCGCGAGAGCAAGCGGACCUCAUAAAGUGCGUCGUAGUCCGGAUUGGAGUCUGCAACUCGACUCCAUGAAGUCGGAAUCGCUAGUAAUCGUAGAUCAGAAUGCUACGGUGAAUACGUUCCC
This 417-nucleotide ribosomal RNA is filed under the name uncultured bacterium. Its description in RNAcentral is "bacterial SSU rRNA". It matches the Rfam family "Bacterial small subunit ribosomal RNA", at positions 958 to 1375 of the family's 1533-position model. The record is from RNAcentral.